CCCGCCUACGGGAGGCAGCAGUGGGGAAUAUUGGACAAUGGGGGCAACCCUGAUCCAGCCAUGCCGCGUGUGUGAAGAAGGCCCUCGGGUUGUAAAGCACUUUCAGCGAGGAAGAACGCCUAUCGGUUAAUACCCGGUAGGAAAGACAUCACUCGCAGAAGAAGCACCGGCUAACUCCGUGCCAGCAGCCGCGGUAAUACGGAGGGUGCAAGCGUUAAUCGGAAUUACUGGGCGUAAAGCGCGCGUAGGUGGCUUGAUAAGCCGGUUGUGAAAGCCCCGGGCUCAACCUGGGAACGGCAUCCGGAACUGUCAGGCUAGAGUGCAGGAGAGGAAGGUAGAAUUCCCGGUGUAGCGGUGAAAUGCGUAGAGAUCGGGAGGAAUACCAGUGGCGAAGGCGGCCUUCUGGACUGACACUGACACUGAGGUGCGAAAGCGUGGGUAGCAAACAGGAUUAGAUACCCUGGUAGUCCACGCCGUAAACGAUGUNGACCAGCCGUUGGGUGCCUAGAGCACUUUGUGGCGAAGNUAACGCGAUNNUCGACCGCC
This 546-nucleotide ribosomal RNA is filed under the name uncultured bacterium. Its description in RNAcentral is "bacterial SSU rRNA". It matches the Rfam family "Bacterial small subunit ribosomal RNA", at positions 334 to 873 of the family's 1533-position model. The record is from RNAcentral.